UGAUUGCCAGAGGGGAAGGAGGUACCCCGUCAGCUCCUGAGGAGGGAUGGCCUGUGUGCCUGGAUCUGGAGCCACGCCAAGCCAGGGUGCACCCUGGUGCCCAGAUGGAGGACCCCACAGAAGUGGAGAACCUGGUGUUUAUGGAGUAACUUCACUGCAGGCAAUGGAAUUUUUAUACCAAUUUAAAACCCAUGUGAGAGGAAGAUCAAGCACAAAGGGACUACAUACAAUAUAUGGAGCAUUAUUGGAUGCAAGGAAACCUGAACUAAGGAAAUGAAGGCUCACACAUUCCAGGCUCUUGCUGCUAUUCUUGACGUAUCUGUAUCGCAUGCAGUGAGACUUAAGACACUAUAUAUAUUACAUAAUAAAAGCACAGAGUGCUAGUCUGGUUUCCUCAGCACCAUCUUGUAGGUUGAUAUUACCAUUUCAGGAGGGGUUAAUGUUUUGGAAAAUUUAAAAAUAUAUAAAUGAUACUAAAACAAAAUAUUUACACAACAAAUUAACAGUCAAAAUAUAUACUUGGUAGACAAUACUUUUCAGGCCUAAGCAUAAAUAAGAACAGUCACCUAAGAAUCAUCUACAAAAUAUUCAUAUGAAUAUGCAAAUAGAGUAAUUAAAGAUACAAUUGUGCACAUAAUUGGUAAUUGUGAGAAUAUAAUCAAGCAUUUGUUUGAAUGUGCAUUCAUAUAUUUUGUGGGUGCAAUUUAGGUGCCCAUUUCUUUCAAAUUUGAUCCUUAGGAUAUUAAAAUAUGCCUGGAAAAAAUCUGAUUACAAAUUUUCUAAAAGUCUGGAAAUGCUGUAGUUUGUCUUGUAAAUAUUAUAUAAAAGAAAUCUAAGCAUAUGGCACCUUUUUAUAUACAACAGACUAUACUAAUGUUAAAUAUUCUAUUUGGAUUAGAACUAUUGUAGACCUAUCAGUUUGGCUUAUUUGGCCUCAAUCCCAGAAGGAUUUACAUACAUCCUUAACUUUAAGGAGGCAAAUAGUCCCAUUGACUUCAUGGGACAAUUAUCUAAUAUAUUGUGCUAUUAGAAUUGCGCUGACUUUUCAACAACUUACAGAUACUUACAUGUGUAAAUCUUGGGCCCUAAUAUAGUACUUCAAUAUGUGGAGAUGGAGCAUCUCCCUACCCAUAUGGGACUGAUUAUUUGAUUACCUGACCUACAUUCUGAACAGCUGCUUCUUCCUCCUUCUGCUCAGAAGAAGCAGAUUGAAAUAGAGGCUACAAAUGGUUGGGGUUGAUGUCAUGCCAUUUGCAUUGUGAGGUCACUAUGUCCAAUAUACAUACCAUGCACAUUCCUUCAGAGUGCAGUGUCUGGAUUAAUUUUUAACUAAUGUCCUGGACGUACCACCUUAUAGCCAAUUAGUUCAGUUUAUCAUCCAUUUAUCAUUCUAUUAUGUGAUGUUGUAGUCAAUUCAUAUGCUAUUCCAUAUAUAAUUGACAUAUGCUAAAUAAAUUUAACUUACUAGGUCAUAGGCUUAGGAAUGCUCAACAUGAGUGGGUGACCUAGGAAUAACCCUGACAGCAAUGUCACAAGACUACUGCAUAACAUGUGCCAAUAGGUAGUGUUACCAAAAACUAGCUUGCAAUAAACUGCAAGGUAUUGUCCAAGAUCAUGAGACACCUGAUUGUAACAUCAUGGAAAGUUCUGUCCUGACUGCGGGAUAUAUGUUGUGUGUAGAUGCUAAUGAGAAUAAGGGGAACUAAAACAACCUAUGAAAAAUGGGACACCCCAAAUUUGUGGGGUGUGGAAGUACAGAAAAGCAAAAGAGGUUUGAAACCUCUAUGCAUAUGAAUAGGUGUUAGAUGUAGUCAGAACAACAAUAUAAAAGAGUUGCCCUAGUUGGGUAAAAGUGGGAAGACUCAAGAAAAAACCCCAGUGGAAGACCCCAGGGGAAACCACAGCAGGAACCCUCCCUCUAUUGGUGAUAGUCUAUUGAGAGGUCCAUCGGACCCUACAGUAUCUUUGAGGAUGUGAAUAUGACUAUAGUCUUAGUCAUUGCAUGUGUUUUUGUAGGAUUUAUAUACACGUUUUGCUUAAUAAAACUUCUAGUUAAGAUAAGACUUUGUACAGU
This is a long non-coding RNA of Dermochelys coriacea (leatherback sea turtle), 2074 nucleotides long. RefSeq lists it as uncharacterized. Lineage: Eukaryota; Metazoa; Chordata; Testudines; Dermochelyidae. The transcript is spliced from 3 exons. The record is from RefSeq and is a predicted model, not a curated record.